This 261-nucleotide ribosomal RNA is filed under the name uncultured bacterium. RNAcentral's name for it is "partial 16S ribosomal RNA". It matches the Rfam family "Bacterial small subunit ribosomal RNA", at positions 99 to 354 of the family's 1533-position model. The record is from RNAcentral.
CGAACGGGUGAGUAACACGUGGGCAACCUGCCCAAAAGAGGGGGAUAACACUUGGAAACAGGUGCUAAUACCGCAUAACCAUAGUUACCGCAUGGUAACUAUGUAAAAGGUGGCUAUGCUACCGCUUUUGGAUGGGCCCGCGGCGCAUUAGCUAGUUGGUGGGGUAAAGGCUUACCAAGGCGAUGAUGCGUAGCCGAACUGAGAGGUUGAUCGGCCACAUUGGGACUGAGACACGGCCCAAACUCCUACGGGAGGCAGCAG